ACUCUGGUAUUGAUUGGUGCUUGCAUCAUGAUUUACAUUUGAGUGAGUGGCGAACUGGUGAGUAACACGUGGGAAACCUGCCCAGAAGCGGGGGAUAACACCUGGAAACAGAUGCUAAUACCGCAUAACAACUUGGACCGCAUGGUCCGAGCUUGAAAGAUGGCUUCGGCUAUCACUUUUGGAUGGUCCCGCGGCGUAUUAGCUAGAUGGUGGGGUAACGGCUCACCAUGGCAAUGAUACGUAGCCGACCUGAGAGGGUAAUCGGCCACAUUGGGACUGAGACACGGCCCAAACUCCUACGGGAGGCAGCAGUAGGGAAUCUUCCACAAUGGACGAAAGUCUGAUGGAGCAACGCCGCGUGAGUGAAGAAGGGUUUCGGCUCGUAAAACUCUGUUGUUAAAGAAGAACAUAUCUGAGAGUAACUGUUCAGGUAUUGACGGUAUUUAACCAGAAAGCCACGGCUAACUACGUGCCAGCAGCCGCGGUAAUACGUAGGUGGCAAGCGUUGUCCGGAUUUAUUGGGCGUAAAGCGAGCGCAGGCGGUUUUUUAAGUCUGAUGUGAAAGCCUUCGGCUCAACCGAAGAAGUGCAUCGGAAACUGGGAAACUUGAGUGCAGAAGAGGACAGUGGAACUCCAUGUGUAGCGGUGAAAUGCGUAGAUAUAUGGAAGAACACCAGUGGCGAAAGCGGCUGUCUGGUCUGUAACUGACGCUGAGGCUCGAAAGUAUGGGUAGCAAACAGGAUUAGAUACCCUGGUAGUCCAUACCGUAAACGAUGAAUGCUAAGUGUUGGAGGGUUUCCGCCCUU
This 806-nucleotide ribosomal RNA is filed under the name Lactiplantibacillus plantarum. RNAcentral's name for it is "bacterial SSU rRNA". It matches the Rfam family "Bacterial small subunit ribosomal RNA", at positions 66 to 840 of the family's 1533-position model. The record is from RNAcentral. Lineage: Bacteria; Bacillati; Bacillota; Bacilli; Lactobacillales; Lactobacillaceae.